Molecule: long non-coding RNA, 913 nt
Organism: Homo sapiens (human)
Lineage: Eukaryota; Metazoa; Chordata; Mammalia; Primates; Hominidae
Gene: ITGAL-AS1
Product: ITGAL antisense RNA 1
Exons: 2
Source: RefSeq, marked validated
AGUGACGGAGCUGAGCCUGCCCCUGCAGGUAGCUCAUCCCAGAGCAUUGGCGCUGGCUCCCUUACCGGGAAAUGAAAUGAGAAGUCAGUGCAUGACAUGCUGGUGGUGACAGCUAUAUUCCUUCUGAGUUCAUGUCUCCCUCCUGGGAACAACCCCCGUCUUCUGGUCCGGUGGCCAUCCAGCUGCAGAGUGAGCACUCCACUUCAUGCACUGGGAUCUCAGCUGGAGAGAAGGACAUCAGGGUGACCAUAUCCACCACGGGCCGGGAGCUGCAGGGCAGAAGGCAACCAACUCUCUCCCUCCAACCCAACUGCACGUCCCCCCUCAGAUGUGGGGCUCCCGCCAGCAAAGCCAGAGAACUCUCCUUCCCUAAAGCAGACCUCAACAUGUCACUGUCUCCUCUUAAGGAAAAUAAUAAUGAUACUUUUUAUUUAUUUAUUUUGAGAGAGGGUCUCACCCUGUUGCCCAGGCUGGAGUGCAGUGGCAUGAUAACAGCUCACUACAGCCUCGGCCUCCCAGGCUCUAGUAAUCCUCCCACCUCAGCCUCCCAAGGAUCUGGGACCACAGGCAUGUGCCACCACACCUGGCUAACUUUAAAUAAAUUUUUGUAGAGAAGGGACCUUCCUAUGUUGUCCAGGGUGGUCUUGAACUCCUGAGCUCAAGCAAUCCUCCCGGCUUGGGCUCCCAAAGUGCUGGGAUUAUAGGCAUGAGCCACCAUGCCUGGCCAAUAAUGGUGAUAACUAAUUAGGGCUCCCAGUUCAUUCUAGCAGCCUCUGACCCAUUUUCCAUGAAGAAGAGAAAGCUCUUAGGAAGAGAAAUCAUACUGAGUUACUUUCAUGCUUAUGUUUAAGCCUUCAGUGAUGCUUGCAUGAAUUUUAUUAUGCUUCAUAAUAAAGUUGCAGCUUUUGUUGUU